AGUCGAACGAUGAUCCCAGCUUGCUGGGGGAUUAGUGGCGAACGGGUGAGUAACACGUGAGUAACCUGCCCUUAACUCUGGGAUAAGCCUGGGAAACUGGGUCUAAUACCGGAUAUGACUCCUCAUCGCAUGGUGGGGGGUGGAAAGCUUUAUUGUGGUUUUGGAUGGACUCGCGGCCUAUCAGCUUGUUGGUGAGGUAAUGGCUCACCAAGGCGACGACGGGUAGCCGGCCUGAGAGGGUGACCGGCCACACUGGGACUGAGACACGGCCCAGACUCCUACGGGAGGCAGCAGUGGGGAAUAUUGCACAAUGGGCGAAAGCCUGAUGCAGCGACGCCGCGUGAGGGAUGACGGCCUUCGGGUUGUAAACCUCUUUCAGUAGGGAAGAAGCGAAAGUGACGGUACCUGCAGAAGAAGCGCCGGCUAACUACGUGCCAGCAGCCGCGGUAAUACGUAGGGCGCAAGCGUUAUCCGGAAUUAUUGGGCGUAAAGAGCUCGUAGGCGGUUUGUCGCGUCUGCCGUGAAAGUCCGGGGCUCAACUCCGGAUCUGCGGUGGGUACGGGCAGACUAGAGUGAUGUAGGGGAGACUGGAAUUCCUGGUGUAGCGGUGAAAUGCGCAGAUAUCAGGAGGAACACCGAUGGCGAAGGCAGGUCUCUGGGCAUUAACUGACGCUGAGGAGCGAAAGCAUGGGGAGCGAACAGGAUUAGAUACCCUGGUAGUCCAUGCCGUAAACGUUGGGCACUAGGUGUGGGGGACAUUCCACGUUUUCCGCGCCGUAGCUAACGCAUUAAGUGCCCCGCCUGGGGAGUACGGCCGCAAGGCUAAAACUCAAAGGAAUUGAC
RNAcentral lists this ribosomal RNA (843 nucleotides) under uncultured bacterium. RNAcentral describes it as "bacterial SSU rRNA". It matches the Rfam family "Bacterial small subunit ribosomal RNA", at positions 60 to 914 of the family's 1533-position model. The record is from RNAcentral.